CUACGGGAGGCUGCAGUGGGGGAUAUUGCACAAUGGACGAAAGUCUGAUGCAGCAACGCCGCGUGGAGGAUGACACAUUUCGGUGCGUAAACUCCUUUUAUAUAGGAAGAUAAUGACGGUACUAUAUGAAUAAGCGCCGGCUAACUCCGUGCCAGCAGCCGCGGUAAUACGGAGGGCGCAAGCGUUACUCGGAAUCACUGGGCGUAAAGAGCGUGUAGGCGGAUAGAUAAGUCAGGAGUGAAAUCCUAUGGCUCAACCAUAGAACUGCUCUUGAAACUGUCUAUCUAGAAUAUGGGAGAGGUAGAUGGAAUUUCUGGUGUAGGGGUAAAAUCCGUAGAGAUCAGAAGGAAUACCGAUUGCGAAGGCGAUCUACUGGAACAUUAUUGACGCUGAGACGCGAAAGCGUGGGGAGCAAACAGGAUUAGAUACCCGAGUAGUC
RNAcentral lists this ribosomal RNA (439 nucleotides) under uncultured bacterium. RNAcentral's name for it is "partial 16S ribosomal RNA". It matches the Rfam family "Bacterial small subunit ribosomal RNA", at positions 339 to 795 of the family's 1533-position model. The record is from RNAcentral.